This 565-nucleotide ribosomal RNA is filed under the name uncultured bacterium. RNAcentral describes it as "partial 16S ribosomal RNA". It matches the Rfam family "Bacterial small subunit ribosomal RNA", at positions 355 to 912 of the family's 1533-position model. The record is from RNAcentral.
UGGGGAAUUUUGGACAAUGGGCGAAAGCCUGAUCCAGCAAUGCCGCGUGUGUGAAGAAGGCCUUCGGGUUGUAAAGCACUUUUGUCCGGAAAGAAAUCCUUGGCUCUAAUACAGUCGGGGGAUGACGGUACCGGAAGAAUAAGCACCGGCUAACUACGUGCCAGCAGCCGCGGUAAUACGUAGGGUGCAAGCGUUAAUCGGAAUUACUGGGCGUAAAGCGUGCGCAGGCGGUUUGCUAAGACCGAUGUGAAAUCCCCGGGCUCAACCUGGGAACUGCAUUGGUGACUGGCAGGCUAGAGUAUGGCAGAGGGGGGUAGAAUUCCACGUGUAGCAGUGAAAUGCGUAGAGAUGUGGAGGAAUACCGAUGGCGAAGGCAGCCCCCUGGGCCAAUACUGACGCUCAUGCACGAAAGCGUGGGGAGCAAACAGGAUUAGAUACCCUGGUAGUCCACGCCCUAAAACGAUGUCAACUAGUUGUUGGGGAUUCAUUUCCUUAGUAACGUAGCUAACGCGUGAAGUUGACCGCCUGGGGAGUACGGUCGCAAGAUUAAAGCUCAAAUGAAUUG